UACGUAGGGUGCGAGCGUUGUCCGGAAUUAUUGGGAGUAAAGAGCUCGUAGGCGGUCUGUCGCGUCGGAUGUGAAAGCCCGGGGCUUAACUCCGGGUCUGCAUUCGAUACGGGCAGACUAGAGUGUGGUAGGGGAGAUCGGAAUUCCUGGUGUAGCGGUGAAAUGCGCAGAUAUCGGGAGGAACACCGGUGGCGAAGGCGGUUCUCUGGGCCUUACCUGACGCUGAGGAGCGAAAGCGUGGGGAGUGAACAGG
This 253-nucleotide ribosomal RNA is filed under the name uncultured bacterium. RNAcentral's name for it is "partial 16S ribosomal RNA". It matches the Rfam family "Bacterial small subunit ribosomal RNA", at positions 524 to 776 of the family's 1533-position model. The record is from RNAcentral.